CCUACGGGAGACAGCAGUGAGGAAUAUUGGUCAAUGGGCGGAAGCCUGAACCAGCCAAGUCGCGUGAGGGAAUAAGGCCCUACGGGUCGUAAACCUCUUUUGCCGGGGAGCAAGGGCGGGGACGUGUCCCGGCCCGGAGAGUACCCGGAGAAAAAGCAUCGGUCAACUCGGUGCCAGCAGCCGCGGUAAUAAGGAGGAUGCGAGCGUUAUCCGGAUUGAUUGGGUUGAAAGGGUGCGUAGGCGGACGCUUAAGUCAGCGGUAAAAUUGCGGGGCUCACCCUCGUCGAGCCGUUGAAACUGGGUGCCUUGAGUGGGCGAGAGGUACGCGGAAUGCGUGGUGUAGCGGUGAAAUGCAUAGAUAUCACGCAGAACUCCGAUUGCGAAGGCAGCGUACCGGCGCCCAACUGACGCUGAAGCACGAAGGCGUGGGUAUCGAACAGGAUUAGAUACCCUUGUAGUC
RNAcentral lists this ribosomal RNA (460 nucleotides) under uncultured bacterium. RNAcentral describes it as "partial 16S ribosomal RNA". It matches the Rfam family "Bacterial small subunit ribosomal RNA", at positions 338 to 795 of the family's 1533-position model. The record is from RNAcentral.